This 231-nucleotide long non-coding RNA is filed under the name Phoenix dactylifera (date palm). RNAcentral's name for it is "long non-coding RNA (PDAC_LNC004332)". Lineage: Eukaryota; Viridiplantae; Streptophyta; Magnoliopsida; Arecales; Arecaceae. The record is from RNAcentral.
AGGUGGUACUGGGUUGUUACAAUACCAGUUGAAAAAAAUUCAAAAAGAGAGAUGUGCAUUUGCAGCAUAAUUGGGCAUAGUUUUUUUUGUAUUAUAUUUUUUUAACGUGUAUGUGUUGGACCGGCUCCUUGCAUUGGCUUGUAUAUAUAAUGUCAUGAAGAUAAGUGGAUAAAAUUGAGUUUAGCUUGCACUAGCAGGCAUAGUCUUUGCAUUGAUUGGGGCUGCGAGUGC